This 584-nucleotide ribosomal RNA is filed under the name uncultured Bacteroidota bacterium. RNAcentral describes it as "bacterial SSU rRNA". It matches the Rfam family "Bacterial small subunit ribosomal RNA", at positions 173 to 758 of the family's 1533-position model. Lineage: Bacteria; Pseudomonadati; Bacteroidota. The record is from RNAcentral.
ACGUCUCUAGAAGACAUCUGAAGGAGAUUAAAGAUUUAUCGGUGAUGGAUGGGGAUGCGUCUGAUUAGCUUGUUGGCGGGGUAACGGCCCACCAAGGCGACGAUCAGUAGGGGUUCUGAGAGGAAGGUCCCCCACAUUGGAACUGAGACACGGUCCAAACUCCUACGGGAGGCAGCAGUGAGGAAUAUUGGUCAAUGGGCGAGAGCCUGAACCAGCCAAGUAGCGUGCAGGAUGACGGCCCUAUGGGUUGUAAACUGCUUUUAUAAGGGAAUAAAGUGAGCCACGUGUGGCUUUUUGCAUGUACCUUAUGAAUAAGGACCGGCUAAUUCCGUGCCAGCAGCCGCGGUAAUACGGAAGGUCCGGGCGUUAUCCGGAUUUAUUGGGUUUAAAGGGAGCGUAGGCCGGAGAUUAAGCGUGUUGUGAAAUGUAGAUGCUCAACAUCUGAACUGCAGCGCGAACUGGUUUCCUUGAGUACGCACAAAGUGGGCGGAAUUCGGGGUGUAGCGGUGAAAUGCUUAGAUAUCACGAAGAACUCCGAUUGCGAAGGCAGCUCAUUGGAGCGCAACUGACGCUGAAGCUCGAAA